Molecule: non-coding RNA, 1042 nt
Organism: Macaca mulatta (Rhesus monkey)
Lineage: Eukaryota; Metazoa; Chordata; Mammalia; Primates; Cercopithecidae
Source: RefSeq, a predicted model, not a curated record
AUGGUAGAAGCAGAUCGUCCAGGCAAGCUUUUCAUUGGUAGCAUCAAUAGAGAAGCCAAUGAAAAGAUGCUUAAAGAAGUAUUUGCAAAACAUGGUCCCCUAUCAGAAGUUCUUUUGAUAAAAGGGUUGAACCAGGAAGUCCAGAGACUUUGUGUUUAAUAUUUUUGAGAACCUGCAGAUGCUAAGAAUGCUGCCAAAUACAUGACUGGAAAGGAAAGAUCUUUGGAUGGAAAAGCAAUAAAAGUAGAACAAGCCAAGAAAUCAUCUUUCAAAGUGGUGGUUGGCAGAGACCACUAGCUUCUUCAAGAAACAGAAGCCCUUCAGGAAGUUUGAGAACUGCAAGAGGAAGUAGUGGAGGAUCAAGAGAGUGGCUUCCCUCACAUGAUGGAUGCUUGGAUGAUGGCGGAUACACUCUUGAAGAACAUGAGUUCUUCUAGGGGGCUUUCCAAUUGAAAGAGGUUCAUCUUCAAGAAGUGGAGGUCCUCCUCCUAAAAAAUCUACUCCUUCUGCUGUGGCAAGAACCAAUAGUUGGAUGGGAGGCCAAGGUCCCAUGUCACGUGGAAGAGAGAAUUAUGGAGGUCCUCUAUGCAGAGAGCCAACCUCUUCCUGGAGAAAUGACUAUAUGUCACCAAGAGAUGAUGAUUAUGCAACUAAGGAGAGAAAUCACCCUUUGUCAGAUGAAAAAUUGGAUUACGCUGCACCAUCUAGAGACCAUGCAUACUGUGAUUAUGGUCAUUCUAGUCGGGAUGAACAUUUCUCUGGAGGAUGCCCGGUGGUAGAGAUUAUUCUGAAGAUCCAAGUGGAAUUUCUUACAGAGAAGCAUUUCAGGGAUAUUGGAACUUUCAUGGUGCACCACCUGCACAAGGGCCCUGGUUGUCUCAUGGUGGAAGCAACCAACAUGAUUAUAACAAUACACAAGAUAGAUAUGGCAGAAGUCAGGAGAGUUACUCAACGAGCUGUGGUGAUUUUUAUUCCUGUGGUCAUGAGCACAUUGACAAUGGUUGUUGCAAGUAAUGGUUUAGUAAUAAGUUUUUGCAAAUAG